UGUAAGCGUAUACCAAAGUUGUUGCAGUUGAAACGCUCGUAGUCGGAAUUUGGCAGUUCCGGAUGUGCGCACGUCGUGUGCGCACUUCGCGGGGAUUGCUUUUGUGGUCUUGCGUAGGAUGAGGCACUUUUAUUAGUGAACGUCCUCACGCAACCACUUUUUACUGUGAGAAAUCAGAGUGCUCAAAGCAGGCAUUUGCCGUGAAUGUAUUAGCAUGGAAUAAUAGAAUAGGACUUGGUUCUAUUUUGUUGGUUUGUUGGGACUGAGUAAUGAUUAAGAGGGACAGUUGGGGGCAUUUGUAUUUCGGUGCUAGAGGUGAAAUUCUUAGAUUACCGAAAGACAAACUGCUGCGAAAGCGUCUGCCAAGGAUGUUUUCAUUGA
This 381-nucleotide ribosomal RNA is filed under the name uncultured eukaryote. RNAcentral's name for it is "partial 18S ribosomal RNA". It matches the Rfam family "Eukaryotic small subunit ribosomal RNA", at positions 592 to 976 of the family's 1831-position model. The record is from RNAcentral.